AAUACGCCAAAAAGGAACACGAAAAAUGAUGUCUCAUACGGUUGGUUUCCUCCUUCUACUCGCUUCCGUCAUUCUAAUGUCAGGAUUUCUCGUGACACCGGCUGAAGCAGGGUGUGAUCAUCCUAAUUUAAAAUGCAGUCACGCCCUCGCAAAGAAGUUCUGCCCGAAACAGUGUGGCUAAAGCAAAUUGAUUCCAACGUAGCAGAGGAAUGGUCUAUAGAUCAUCAGGCUGAAUAUUUUGAUUAUAAACAUUUACAUUAUUAUGAUAUUAUUGCAAGUUAAUAAACAAUAGGAUAAGAUGCAUU
Molecule: long non-coding RNA, 305 nt
Organism: Colletes gigas
Lineage: Eukaryota; Metazoa; Arthropoda; Insecta; Hymenoptera; Colletidae
Exons: 3
Source: RefSeq, a predicted model, not a curated record